UGCCAACCCGGAAGAAGAACCUGGCC
Molecule: non-coding RNA, 26 nt
Filed under: Homo sapiens (human)
Lineage: Eukaryota; Metazoa; Chordata; Mammalia; Primates; Hominidae
Source: RNAcentral